UUAACAAGGAAGGAAAACGGACAGCGAGGAUUCUUGGCCCUCCUAUAACAGAAAACGCACAUCUGUGCUCUUGAGUUUCCUUAUGAGGACUUUUACUGGCUUACGCAUCGGAAAAAUGUUGUAGUUGCAAGAUCAAAGAAGAUUAUGCACGCUUGGCAGAGAUUUCACAGGUGGAAAUAAGACCAUCCGCGGCAAAGCUCAUGUCACCGAAAGGGAUUAGUUUUUCAUACAGUAUCACAGCGUUACUAUUCUCGGUCUAUGUACUGUUUUUUCUUUUGUUUUUGUUUAGCAUUAACCGACGCAAAAGUUCUUAUUAGGCGCCGUGAAGCAAGUGGGCAUUGGCUAGUAUACGUAUAAAAUUGUGAAGGAAUUCUAUAAUGGCUCUGGGUAACCGUUACCAUUGCAUUGCCUGUUGAAGAUGUGGCCGAAGCAUAGCUGAAUGUAGCUGAAAAACUUAGUGCGAAAAUGCCAUUGGCCUAAAACACGCACGAAUAAUUGUGCAAGCAUGGUUUGUUGGCGAGGGGAAUGAAGACAAUACAUUGUUCGAUUUCAUUUGUCGAAGCUUCGUUGGAUGUAAAUUUUUUAGUUGCGCAUAGCACCAUGCUGGAUGGAAAAAUUGGAGAAGUUCGAUAAUGCCAUUGAGAGUUACUGGAAAGCCUGCACUGUGGGUUAUAUUGUAGCAGCGGAAAAUUUAAAUGAUAAACGAAUGCAAUCGCCAUAGUAGCAGACACCUCAUCAGGCAAUAUUAUGUAAAUGGAGUUCAGCGAUCCUGCAAUCGGAUUUGAAAAUGUCCAACAAACGCCGGCAAUCAGUGGUAAAGGCACUUCUAGUCUAAUUUUCAAAUAUUUUACGCUUAACUAACAAAUUUUUAAUAAAUUGUUUUAAUAGUUAUUUCUAUUGUA
Molecule: long non-coding RNA, 902 nt
Organism: Rhagoletis zephyria (snowberry fruit fly)
Lineage: Eukaryota; Metazoa; Arthropoda; Insecta; Diptera; Tephritidae
Source: RefSeq, a predicted model, not a curated record